UUCGAUCCUGGCUCAGAUUGAACGCUGGCGGGAUGCUUUACACAUGCAAGUCGAACGGCAGCACGGACUUCGGUCUGGUGGCGAGUGGCGAACGGGUGAGGUACGUAUCGGAACGUGCCUAGUAGCGGGGGAUAACUACGCGAAAGCGUAGCUAAUAUCGUGUAUACGCCCUUCGGGGGAAAGCGGGGGACCUUCGGGCCUCGACCAUUAGGAGCGGCUGAUAUCGGAUUAGCUAGUUGGUGGGGCAACGGCUCAACAAGGCGACGAUCCGUAGCUGGUUUGAGACGACCAGCCACACUUGACUAUGACACGCCCAGACUCCUACGGAGGCAGCAGUGGGGAAUUUUGGACAAUGGGAAAUCCUGAUCCAGCCAUCUCAUGCGUGUGCGAUGAAGGCCUUCGGGUUGUAAAGCACUUUUGGCAGGAAAGAAACGGCACGGGAUAAUACCCCGUGCAACUGACGUACCUGCAGAAUAAGCACCGGCUAACUACGAACAGCAGCCGCUAACACGCAGGGUGCAGCAAUCGGAAUUACUGGCGUAAAGCGUGCGCAGGCGGCUCCGGAAAGAAAGAUGAAAUCCCAGAGUCAACUUUGGAACUGCAUUUUAAAUUACCGAGCUAGAGUGUGUCAGAGGAGGUAAAUUCCGCGUGUAGCAGUGAAAUGCGUAGAUAUGCGGAGGAACACCGAUGGCGAAGGCAGCCUCCUCGGGAUAACACUGACGCCCGCGCCUGAGCGGGAGCAAACAGGAUUAGAUACCCUGGUAGUCCACGCUCAAAACGAUGUCAACUAGCUGUUGGGGCCUUCGGGCCUGGUAGCGCAGCUAACGCGUGAAGUUGACCGCCUGGGGAGUACGGUCGCAAGAUUAAAACUCAAAGGAAUGACGGGGACCCGCACAAGCGGUGGAUGAUGUGGAUUAAUUCACGAUGUGCAAAUGCGAAAAACCCUACCUACCCUUGAGGCAUGUCUGAAUCCCGAAGAGAUUUGGGAGUGCUCGCAAGAGAACCGAACACAGGUGCUGCAUGGCUGUCGCCAGUCGUGUCGUGGAGAUGUUGGGUUAAGUCCUGCAACGAGCGCAACCUUGUCAUUAGUUGCUACGAAAGGGCACUCUAUCGAGAUCGCCGGUGACAAACCGGAGGAAGGUGGGGAUGACGUCAAGUCCUCAUGGCCCUUAUGGGUAGGGCUUCACACGUCAUACAAUGGUCGGGACAGAGGUCGCCAACCCGGCGAGGGGAGCCGUAAUCCUGAAACCCGAUCGUCCGGAUCGGUCGCAACCGACUGCGCAAGUCGGAAUCGCUAUAAUCGUGGAUCAGUGCCAAGUCGGUGGUGAACAUGUUCCCGGUCUUGUACACACUGCCCGUCACACCAUGGGAGUGGGUUUUACCAGAAGUAGUUAGCCUAACCGUAAGGAGGGCGAUUACCACGGUAGGAUUCAUGACUGGGGUGAAGUCGUAACAAGGUA
Molecule: ribosomal RNA, 1460 nt
Filed under: uncultured Bordetella sp.
Lineage: Bacteria; Pseudomonadati; Pseudomonadota; Betaproteobacteria; Burkholderiales; Alcaligenaceae
Description: partial 16S-23S ribosomal RNA intergenic spacer
Rfam family: Bacterial small subunit ribosomal RNA
Source: RNAcentral